GACGAACGCUGGCGGCGUGCCUAACACAUGCAAGUCGAGCGAAUGAAGUUCCUUCGGGCAUGGAUUUAGCGGCGGACGGGUGAGUAACACGUGGGCAACCUGCCUCAUAGAGGGGAAUAGCCUUCCGAAAGGGAGAUUAAUACCGCAUAAGAUUGUAGUAUCGCAUGAUACAGCAAUUAAAGGAGCAAUCCGCUAUGAGAUGGGCCCGCGUCGCAUUAGCUAGUUGGUGAGGUAACGGCUCACCAAGGCGACGAUGCGUAGCCGACCUGAGAGGGUGAUCGGCCACAUUGGGACUGAGACACGGCCCAGACUCCUACGGGAGGCAGCAGUGGGGAAUAUUGCACAAUGGGGGAAACCCUGAUGCAGCAACGCCGCGUGAGUGAUGACGGCCUGCGGGUUGUAAAGCUCUGUCUUCAGGGACGAUAAUGACGGUACCUGAGGAGGAAGCCACGGCUAACUACGUG
RNAcentral lists this ribosomal RNA (464 nucleotides) under uncultured bacterium. RNAcentral's name for it is "partial 16S ribosomal RNA". It matches the Rfam family "Bacterial small subunit ribosomal RNA", at positions 28 to 507 of the family's 1533-position model. The record is from RNAcentral.